Molecule: long non-coding RNA, 3690 nt
Organism: Acanthochromis polyacanthus (spiny chromis)
Lineage: Eukaryota; Metazoa; Chordata; Actinopteri; Pomacentridae
Exons: 2
Source: RefSeq, a predicted model, not a curated record
UCACAAAGUCAGCUCACUUGUCUGUUGCAAAGGAAGACCUCAUCCAGGAGGUGGCAACGGCAGAUGCAAAGAGAGCUGCCAGUUCAGAGCCAGAGGAAACAGAGGCUGCAGCAGAGCCAGUGAGCAAGACAUCACGGCACGAAGAAGCAUGUAGCAGCCAAGACAGCGCCUUUGAGGAGAUCCUACAAGAAAGGCAGUCACAGGCUCGGUCUGUGAGUACCUCAUCUGCAGAAGCUCAGGUACAGACCUACCUAUCAGAGCAAACCAUUCCCAAGAAAAGUGAUCCACUUCAAUACUGGAAAGAACAUGUUAAUCAAUUUCCCGCCAUGGCUGCAGUUGCAAGCCAGUAUCUCUGUGCCCCCUGCAGCUCUGUGGACAGUGAGAGACUUUUUAGCGCUGUUGCAAACAUCCUAGAUGAAAACAGGAAUAGGUUCAAACCUGACAAGGUGGAAAUGUUGGUUUUCAUCAAGAAAAACAUACAUGUCCUUCAGUGAAACUCUAGACAAAUAUGUGCCAUUCAUAAGAGCACAUUACUACUACUGGCCUUACAGUAUUAUAAAGUAGCUCUUUGUUAACUUUGUUCCCUAUUGUUUACAUGCCUUUGAGUUGAGCUGACCUGCUGUUUAUUUUAUAGAAGUCUAUUAUUUAUUUAUUUUUGCUGUUGUACCUAAGCCAAAAGGGAAAUUUAUUAUUUAUUUUUACUUUUGUACCUAAGCUAAAAGGGAAAUUUAUUUAUUUUCUGAUUGUUAUUUUUAGUCACAGAAAUGUACUGUUCUAAGUGUUGUUUUGAAUUGACGUUAAGAAAAUAAAAAAGGAAAACUUUUCGUAAGUUUUUUGUUAUUUUUUUUAAUAGAUAAUAUACAUAUUUUACUAUAUUAGAAAAGAAUCGGAUCGGGACUCGGAAUCGGCAGAUACUCAAAAUGAUAGGACUCGGACUCGGACUCGGUGGCAAAUAAACCUGAUCGGGACAUCCCUAUACUGCAGUAAACCUGUAUUCUCUCCAUCAUGUCAGUAAAUGGGCCUGUACAGUGGGGUAGUGGUUAGCACUGUCGCCUUGCAGCAAGAAGAUCCCCGGUUCAAAUCCCGGCCUGGUCCUGGGAUCUUUCUGCAUGGAGUUUGCAUGUUCUCCCUGUACAUGCGUGGGUUUUCUCCGGGUACUCCGGCUUCCUCCCACAGUCCAAAAACAUGCUGAGGUUAAUUGGUUACUCUAAAUUGUCUGUAGGUGUGAAUGUGAGUGUGAUUGUGUGUCUGUAUAUGUAGCCCUGUGACAGACUGGUGACCUGUCCAGGGUGUCCCCUGCCUUCACCCGAGUCAGCUGGGAUAGACUCCAGCACCCCCCAUGACCCUAGUGAGGAUAAAGUGGUGUAUAGAGGAUGGAUGGAUGGAUGGAUGUCAGUAAAUGUCAAUCGGCUGUAGUUCCUGGUCUCCUGUAGAAACCAGAGGAGACUCCAUGUUAAAGCAGAGAGCAUUGUGGGAGUUUAGCAGCAGCGGGCACCAUGACAAAGACUCCUGAGGAGGAACUGUCAUGUUGUUUACAUGUUUGACGUCGGUCUAGAUGUCACUGAAUUGAGAUUUAACAAUAACAGAUACUGAAUAUUAGUGAUGAAAUGUUUAUUUUUGCUUUAAUCUGGUUUUAGUUGUUUAAUAUUUAGAAUCUGCUGAUGCCUUUCUCCAUGAUUAAACACGUUUAAAGAAUUGUAGAUCAGCUGCAGUACCUCCAUGUCCCACCAGGUGGAGCCUCUUCCUGUUUUGCUGUAAUAACCAUGGUGGGAGGCCACCUCAGAGAGCAUUAUGGGAGUUUAUCUGGCAGAGGGGAACCAUGAUGAUCCCUUCUAGAAGCCUUGAUGACCUCCUGCCUUCAUUCCAGCAGCUCAUGGAUCAGUCUGCAGCAGAGCUUCUAUUAAUAUUCAUCAGUUAUUGAUUCAUGCUGCUGGACUUAUUCAGUAACUUACUGAAACCUAUGACAUCUAUGUGACAGUGAAUAUAAAUGAAGGACUGAUCCUGAAUAUGAAAUGAUCAGGACGUGUCUACCUGGAGGUGGAUGUUGCACACUUAACUGAGGACAUAAGUCGAUGGCUGAAUCCCAAACCCCCCCUCCACACUCCCCCUCCACUACCGAGUGUCACUCCAAAAGAAGUCACACUCGCAGCUGUGGAGGGCACCUAUUAUUGAAGGGGGAGGGUAUAAAUACGAUCGUCAGGAAUGGGACGCCCUGUCGCCUCACCGGAAAACGGAAGACGUCAUCGCCAUGGUAACACAAAGACGCCUACUGUCAUGGCUGUAGCGCUGUGGCACAGGUUGCAACUAACAAGGAUCGCUGCUGCUUCCAGAAGACGAAAGCAUCCCACUUUUUUUCACUCACAUGUUUUCCAAUCCUAUUAUCUGGCAUUUCAAAUCCAACAAAUGAAUGAAUGAAUUCUGUCAGUUGUGUUCAAAUUUUAAGGUGUCAGGGGGUGCACAAUUAAAUCAAACGUCAGCAGAAAAGAAGAUUUAUUUCUUUUGUUUUAUAUUUUUACACCACUCUUUGUGAUGUUCUGUCAGUGUGAAAAAGGCGUGGGAGAAAUAAUGGACGCAUGUGGAACUUAUAUCAAUAUGUUGUUUCCUCCUCCAUUUCGACGUUGCACUUCCUGAAAAAGUUGUCCAGAGUGAGCAUCGAUGCAGACUCGCUAUUUAAGGGCUGAACAGUCCACUCCCCCUCCGCACUAUGCGGUUUGGGACGGCCCUUAAUAUGGAGGACCCUCCACGGGAACGCGCAAACGGAGGGGUAGUGUGUAGGGGGCGGUUUGGGAUUCAGCCAGUGUGUCUUUUGAUGGGUUUAUUUUCUGUAAACAACAACACAAAACAUAAAUACUGUGCUGCGGUUCUGGGCCGUCUGUCUGCUGUUUCAUGGUGCAGCAGAACCUGCUUAUUCUACACCGCAGCGGCCUGAGGUUCCCUUGAGAGCAACUCCCUCUUGUGGCGGGCUGUAUGAAUUACAUCUAAAGCAAAUCUAACUGUGUGGCUCAGAAAUAAUGUACAUCAGGAGAAAAGACAAGAAAAUAAAAAAAGGAAACUGAAGAUGAAUAGCAUAAUAUUACUACAAAUUAAUACAUUUUGAAAGGGUGGCCUAUUUUACAUUAGUAUUUUCAUAUCCCCACAUGGAGAAGAAGACCAAUCAAACAUCUGGUGGUGUUAACCAGCUGUUUGCUUUCCAUUUCCUGUCCAGAGGUGAUGACAUCCAACGGUUUCUGUCUGCCCAACAGCGAGACCAUCCUGUUUGACUUCACCUCGCCCACACAGGAAGUCCCAACCCGAUCAGACGACUCCACAGGCCGAAGGGAGGAUGGGCCAACUGAUGAAGAGGCGGAGCUUCAGAUGCAAUGCGGCCCCGCCCCCCUGACGCAUCACCUGCUGCUCACCUGGAUGCAGGAGACGGACAUCCUGGACUGACACCGUCGAGGACGGUCGUCAUGGUGACACUCGAUCAUCGAUUGAUCAGUGGAUGACUGAUGGACUCCUGGUGCAUUGUGGGAGAUUAAACUGGUCUCUGUGUGGACAAGUCCGUUUCUGCUGCUCCACAUCUGUCUAACAUCUGUCUAUUAUCUGUCCAACUCUGAACACAGUCCAUCAUUGGUUCAUUAUUAUAAUCAGUGGAUCUUUGUGUUGAACUGAUAAAACAUAGAAAAUAAAACUCCAUAUUAAGCACUGUUA